ACGCUCGACACCUACGGGAGGCAGCAGUGGGGAAUAUUGCACAAUGGAGGAAACUCUGAUGCAGCGACGCCGCGUGAGGGAAGAAGGUCUUCGGAUUGUAAACCUCUGUUGUCGAGGGACGAUGAUGACGGUACCUGACGAGGAAGCCACGGCUAACUACGUGCCGGCAGCCGCGGUAAUCUGAGCGGGCUGGCAAGGC
RNAcentral lists this ribosomal RNA (199 nucleotides) under uncultured bacterium. Its description in RNAcentral is "partial 16S ribosomal RNA". It matches the Rfam family "Bacterial small subunit ribosomal RNA", at positions 328 to 539 of the family's 1533-position model. The record is from RNAcentral.